This 107-nucleotide non-coding RNA is filed under the name uncultured Nitzschia. Lineage: Eukaryota; Bacillariophyta; Bacillariophyceae; Bacillariales; Bacillariaceae. The record is from RNAcentral.
AAAACAAAAAAAGCAAAGAUUUCUUUCUUUUUUUGGCUUUUAUUUACCGACCGCAAACGCCAAAAAAGGAAAUAAAACUUUCUCAUCUUCGUUUUUAGAUUCUUGUC